Molecule: ribosomal RNA, 433 nt
Filed under: uncultured bacterium
Lineage: Bacteria
Description: partial 16S ribosomal RNA
Rfam family: Bacterial small subunit ribosomal RNA
Source: RNAcentral
AACGAACGCUGGCGGCAUGCCUAACACAUGCAAGUCGAACGAGACCUUCGGGUCUAGUGGCGCACGGGUGCGUAACGCGUGGGAACCUGCCCUUAGGUUCGGAAUAACUCCCCGAAAGGGGUGCUAAUACCGGACAAAUUCUUCGGACCAAAGAUUUCUCGGCUUUGGAUGGGCCCGAGUUGGAUUAGCUAGUUGGUGGGGUAAAAGCCAUCCAAGGCGACGAUCCAUAGUUGGUUUGAGAGGAUGAACAGCCACACUGGGACUGGGACCCGGCCCAGACUCCUACGGGAGGCAGCAGUGGGGAAUAUUGGACAAUGGGCGAGAGGCUGAUCCAGCAAGGCCGCGUGAGUGAUGAAGGCCUUAGGGUUGUAAAUCACUUUUACCCGAGAUGAUAGUGACAGUACCUGGAGAAUAAGCGCCGGCUAACUCCGUG